GAGGCCCGGAGCAAAAAUCUCUCAGAGAAGAAACCUGUUGUCCAGAGAGCAGGAAGCCAAAGCACAGAUUCUGACUCCUAAGACUUGUGAAGUGCUGUGGCGAGGAGCGACAAACAACUAACGAGCAACAAGAGAAAGCAGGAACAACAAGCGAUGAGAUAGCGAGGAGCGAUGCCGCAAUUGGUGGGAGUAAGGAGCGACAGAGAAAGGGAGGUGGAGACCAAAAGAAAAUGGAGAGAGGGAGUCAGGCUGCCUGAGCUGAGAGAAGAGCAGAUCUUCUCAACAUUUUAAGCUAUAUAUUAUGGGCUUAGUGUCUUGGGCUCUUGGCACCUUGCCAAUUGAGCUGGACUUUGGAGUGAAGGCUUGGAGGGCCUUAAGGUUAAUGGUUAAAGCACAUAGGCUACAGGCCUAAAACCUGCAGAAAGUAUAUGAUUUUUAAAAAUUCGGUUUGGUCUGGUUAGUUCAGUUUUUUACACAAUUAACUGAAUUGAACCAAAAAACUAAAAACCUUUAAAAUUAGCAACCAAAAAACUAAAUUAAAUCGGCUCAGGUUCAGUUAACCGCUGGUUUUAUAAAAUAAAACAUACAUAAAACCAAUUGUCUCAAUUAACCUUUUUUUAUCAGUCUUUUGAUUUUCAAUUUUUAAUUUUCAAUUUUAUUUGUCCAACAUGACCUAGAAGCAUAACACAAGUAGAGCACAUUGGGUUAGAAGAUAGAAAGAAAAGAAGGGGUAGGCCUAAACUGACUUGGAGGAGAGUAAUACAACAUGACCUAGAAGCAUUAC
This 784-nucleotide unclassified non-coding RNA is filed under the name Hevea brasiliensis (rubber tree). Lineage: Eukaryota; Viridiplantae; Streptophyta; Magnoliopsida; Malpighiales; Euphorbiaceae. The record is from RNAcentral.